RNAcentral lists this long non-coding RNA (1130 nucleotides) under Homo sapiens (human). Its description in RNAcentral is "HSALNT0404735". The record is from RNAcentral. Lineage: Eukaryota; Metazoa; Chordata; Mammalia; Primates; Hominidae.
GUCCCUUGAUGCUUCCUACUCAAUAUUAACAUGUGCAUCAUUUUGUGUUUCAGCAUUUCUGUUUUCAUUAUAUUAUGAUAGGUUAAUUUUCCUAAGAAGACACUAUUUUGACAAAAGCAAAGCAUUAAAGUAAAGCAGCAUAAGAUCAAUUUUUUCCUGGUAGAAGGAAACACCAUCUUUCCAAGAAGACAAUUCUGCCAGGAAACAAAACAAACCAAAACAUUUCUGCAACCAGGUUGCCAAGAACUGAGUGAUGUGUCCACAUCCCGGGAGAGAGAAGCCAACAGAAGCUGGAAGAGCUAAAUCAGACUGCUCCCUAGAGCUUCAGAAGGAGCCAGAACUGAUGACUCCAAGAUCUUAGCCCAGUGAAACUGAUCUGGACUUCUGAACUAUGAGAGAUUCCAUUCCUGUUGUUUGAAGCUACCACAUUAUUGAGAACUUGUUACAGUAGCCCGAGGACACUAACACAAAUGGGGCUCCGGGAAAAUCCAGACUAAAGGUGUUGUGUUGGUUUGCAAUCUCCUUGCUUAACUUUCUGAUACUAGACAUAAAUAGAUUGGUGAAAAAUUUUGUGAUUGAAGAAAUGUACAUGAAACCUACAGCGUACAGAGAAGCAUCUGUUAGUUAUAAGAUAAAUAUUGAUAAUUUUAGUUGAAAAUGACAUAUGACUGUUAAUAUCUCACAUAACAUUCUGAGUUACUCAAGAAUGCAUAAAAGGGGCACUAGAUACUCUUCUCAUGUAUGUGUGUGUGUCUGUCUAUACAUGUAUGUACACUUCAUGGUGCAUCAGUUGGCGGAACCCUCAGGACACCCCUUCACAUCCUCAGUGCCCCAUUUCACACAUGAGGAAACUGUUCAUGACAGCACAUGGCUGAUUUGCAUAAAAGUCACUUGGUCAGCAGUUGUUGAAGCUGAACUUGGAAUCUAGGUCUGUCUGACCUUAACUAUGUUCCUUCCACAGAGCCACGUUCAUUCCAUAGAGGAACCCACCACCUAUAAAACCAGGAAAGAGACAAAGCCAGAAGUGCAGGGUGGAUUUCUUAACACAAGCUCACUGCGACCUCUAGUCCUCAUCACGCUGACACUAAGCUUAAACCCAGACCCUUCUACAGUUUUGUCUACAAAGCACA